This is a long non-coding RNA of Oncorhynchus kisutch (coho salmon), 1034 nucleotides long. RefSeq lists it as uncharacterized. Lineage: Eukaryota; Metazoa; Chordata; Actinopteri; Salmoniformes; Salmonidae. The transcript is spliced from 3 exons. The record is from RefSeq and is a predicted model, not a curated record.
GUUUCACUGCUGGUUUGUGGGUAUUUGUGUCCGUGUGAGUGUUUGUCGCCACACGGUACUGUUUCGGUUUCGUUCAUUGUCACAUUUAUUGUUUUGUAUCAUGAACACUUACCAUGCUGCAUCUUGUUCCGAUCCUUAUUCCUCUUCAGACGAAGAGGAGAUCUGCCGUUACAGUGUGUGGCAGUACAACUUACCUUCCUUUGUGGCCUCAUACAGGUGAACGCACACACACCCUGUCAAUUGUCUCUGUUACUCUACAGAUACUGUUGUUUUUGUUGGGGUGUGUGUAGCUGGCUGUCUCAGUCCCUGUUGAGUGGCUACACCAUGGCACCAGCGCUCCAUAUCAACAUCCACCAGCUGCCUCUACUCUUGGCAUCCCAACCUACAGGCAGAGUGGCAUUCUGGUUGUAGGCUGGGCUGUUCUGGUCAUCUCUAUGGUGAUCCUGGUGGGACUCAAGAUGCUGAAUAGACUCUUCAAGAUGAAGUUGCCCAUUCCAUGGGAGCUGGUGCUGAUAAUCCUGGCCACCUUCCUGUCGGUGCAGUUGGAGUAAUCCUGGCCACCUUCCUGUCGGUGCAGUUGGAGUUGUGUCAAGGUAGUAGGACACAUACCCACUGGGUCAGUCUUACUGUCUCCAUCUGUUUGUGCAAUGUAGAGAAAUAAUAGUGAAAGUGAAUUUAUUUGUGAUAUAAAUGUUCUCCCACAAACAUGGUUACACCUUGGACAGCAACCAGGUAACUGAGAAAUGAGCUCUCAUAAUGAACUCACUAUCCUCACUCCACUGUCAGAAGAACCAGUUUUUCUCUCCCCCUAUUUCACUGCUAUAAGUGGUCUCCCUGCUGUAGGAACCUGUUUGGCGAUAGGCCUCUGCAACACAAUUGGAGGGAUGUGUUUCGCUGUCAGCUGAUCCUUGCCACACAGUACGGUCCAAGGGAGUGUUGGGGUGAAAACUCAGGUAGUGAUGUUAAAUGUGGGAAUAUGUAGUCCAUAGUUGGCUGCAUUGUCACUAGACUAAACUCUGGCACAAAUAAAUACU